Molecule: long non-coding RNA, 559 nt
Organism: Bos taurus (domestic cattle)
Lineage: Eukaryota; Metazoa; Chordata; Mammalia; Artiodactyla; Bovidae
Source: Ensembl
GCCAAUGGCCUUGGAGGGGGUCUGGCAUGAGAGUCAUGCUGACAGGCUGACCCCAUCAGACUCCGCUGUGAGACACGGGGAGGGACACUACAGUAGGGUGAGACCGAAGCAAAGAGCCACAGAGACAAGGCCGCAGACGCUCAAGGCAGGGGAGUAACAGGAGUGGAGACAGGGAAGAGCUGCGUCACCGUCACGAUGGAGAAACCUCGAUUAUCGGGUCUGAUAAUCCCAGAGAAGGACUCGGGAAACGCCGGUUCCAAGGAAGCAAGAUUCCUGUGGGUGCGGUUCACUGCAGCUGCACCUGGGAGAGACGUGAGCAGCCAUUCCGUGUCUGGAGCAUCUCUGAUCUGGUGGGAUGAAUGGCAGAGCCCUGGCGAAGAGGCAUAGGUUAUGGGUUGUUCUGACGUGUCUGGACAUCACUCCUGUGGCUGUUAAGUCCUCCCCAGCUGUUCCGAUGAACGACUGGCUUCCAGAAAUGCUCCUGCCCUCUGUGCCCACUCACCUGGCCUUGUGGCACAAACACACUGGCAGAGACUGGAUUGCAACUAUGAAUGUGGCC